GAUGAACGCUGGCGGCGUGCCUAAUACAUGCAAGUCGAGCGAACAGACGAGGAGCUUGCUCCUCUGACGCUAGCGGCGGACGGGUGAGUAACACGUGGAUAACCUACCUAUAAGACUGAGAUAACUUCGGGAAACCGGAGCUAAUACCGGAUAACAUGUUGAACCGCAUGGUUCAACAGUGAAAGACGGUCUUGCUGUCACUUAUAGAUGGAUCCGCGCCGCAUUAGCUAGUUGGUAAGGUAACGGCUUACCAAGGCAACGAUGCGUAGCCGACCUGAGAGGGUGAUCGGCCACACUGGAACUGAGACACGGUCCAGACUCCUACGGGAGGCAGCAGUAGGAAAUCUUCCGCAAUGGGCGAAAGCCUGACGGAGCAACGCCGCGUGAGUGAAGAAGGUCUUCGGAUCGUAAAACUCUGUUAUUAGGGAAGAACAAAUGUGUAAGUAACUAUGCACGUCUUGACGGUACCUAAUCAGAAAGCCACGGCUAACUACGUG
This 497-nucleotide ribosomal RNA is filed under the name uncultured bacterium. RNAcentral describes it as "partial 16S ribosomal RNA". It matches the Rfam family "Bacterial small subunit ribosomal RNA", at positions 28 to 507 of the family's 1533-position model. The record is from RNAcentral.